This 77-nucleotide transfer RNA is filed under the name Clostridia bacterium. RNAcentral describes it as "tRNA-Phe". It matches the Rfam family "tRNA". From Rfam's summary of the family: Transfer RNA (tRNA) molecules are approximately 80 nucleotides in length. Their secondary structure includes four short double-helical elements and three loops (D, anti-codon, and T loops). Lineage: Bacteria; Bacillati; Bacillota; Clostridia. The record is from RNAcentral.
GCUUGUGUAGCUUAAGAGGUCUGAGCGCAGGUCUGAAAAACCUGAGGAUGAAGGUUCGAUACCUUCCGCAAGCACCA